This 73-nucleotide transfer RNA is filed under the name Rhodopirellula maiorica SM1. It matches the Rfam family "tRNA". From Rfam's summary of the family: Transfer RNA (tRNA) molecules are approximately 80 nucleotides in length. RNAcentral also lists the same sequence under 1 other name. The record is from Rfam by way of RNAcentral. Lineage: Bacteria; Pseudomonadati; Planctomycetota; Planctomycetia; Pirellulales; Pirellulaceae.
GCCCCUAUAGCUCAGUUGGUAGAGCAACGGACUCUUAAUCCGUUUGUCCAAGGUUCGAGCCCUUGUGGGGGUA